RNAcentral lists this ribosomal RNA (444 nucleotides) under Plantibacter flavus. Its description in RNAcentral is "bacterial SSU rRNA". It matches the Rfam family "Bacterial small subunit ribosomal RNA", at positions 28 to 485 of the family's 1533-position model. Lineage: Bacteria; Bacillati; Actinomycetota; Actinomycetes; Micrococcales; Microbacteriaceae. The record is from RNAcentral.
GACGAACGCUGGCGGCGUGCUUAACACAUGCAAGUCGAACGAUGAAGCCCAGCUUGCUGGGUGGAUUAGUGGCGAACGGGUGAGUAACACGUGAGUAACCUGCCCUUGACUCUGGGAUAAGCGUUGGAAACGACGUCUAAUACCGGAUACGAGCUUCCACCGCAUGGUGAGUUGCUGGAAAGAAUUUUGGUCAAGGAUGGACUCGCGGCCUAUCAGCUUGUUGGUGAGGUAAUGGCUCACCAAGGCGACGACGGGUAGCCGGCCUGAGAGGGUGACCGGCCACACUGGGACUGAGACACGGCCCAGACUCCUACGGGAGGCAGCAGUGGGGAAUAUUGCACAAUGGGCGAAAGCCUGAUGCAGCAACGCCGCGUGAGGGACGACGGCCUUCGGGUUGUAAACCUCUUUUAGCAGGGAAGAAGCGAAAGUGACGGUACCUGCAGA